RNAcentral lists this transfer RNA (73 nucleotides) under Camelus ferus (Wild Bactrian camel). It matches the Rfam family "tRNA". From Rfam's summary of the family: Transfer RNA (tRNA) molecules are approximately 80 nucleotides in length. Their secondary structure includes four short double-helical elements and three loops (D, anti-codon, and T loops). The record is from Rfam by way of RNAcentral. Lineage: Eukaryota; Metazoa; Chordata; Mammalia; Artiodactyla; Camelidae.
GAAGGUAUAGUUCAAGUGGCAGAGCACAAGCUUAGCAUCCAUGAGGCCCUAGGUUCAGUCCCCAGUACUUUCA